AUGGGCAGUGACAGAAGCGAAUUCCACGGAGCCGGUGCAGAGUCACCGCUGGGCAUGCGUUCUCAGAAAACUCAACUGAACACCGAACUUGGACCAGUUGCCUCCACCGCCAGCGAGCUCGGACUAGAUGAUGGUGAUAGCGACUCUGCUCCGAGCAGCCAGGAGCCAGUUUUGCUGUUUGGGAGAGUGGUAGAGGGUGAUGAUAGCAAUCAGACAAAAAUGCUGCCCGUGACUGCCGGGGCCAGAAGUAGGUUUUUGGCUGGUUGCAAGGCUGCUGGAUUGCUUGAUAAGGGGCAUGAGCUGCACUUCCAGACUGAAGAUCAGGCGUAUCUGUGGCAGAUGCUCGGUGCAGUCUCACUAUACCAGUUAGGGAAUAGCUGCGGCCAUAGAUCCAACCCCCUCUCUGUCAGAGCUGAACCGCACCAGUCGAGAGCAAGCUCUGAUUGCUGGUCACAAAGAGAGGUUGAGAAGGGAGUUGAGGAUCCCAGGUCAGGGGAGAGACAACCCACAGAAGCUCGUGAUAAGGAUUCUAGUUGCAGCAACAGAAGAGGAAUUCCGAUUGCAGCUGAAGGGGAGAAGCAGUUCUGCGGAGGAAGUGAUAUCCUGGGCGCUUUCCAUGAGAACUACAACAGAUCUGUUUUAGAGGGCUCGAUGGAAAGCAUUCUGGGAGAUCCAACCUUGGGUGCCCCAGCAGUGACAAACUCCGAUUCCGCUGGCAAACUACCGGAGGGAGAAGAUGCAGUGAGGCCAUCAAACCCCCCUCAAUUCGGGUUCAGUAGCUGCUAUGAAUUCGGUCUUGGUCAAAAGCAGAGGCAUAUGGAAAGAGAAAAAGGGGAAAGUAGUGGAGCCCAGGUGGGGUGCAGCAGCACGCUCCCAGCCUGGCUUCCGGCCCCUUCUGGAAGCUUUGGGGUGGUUGGAGCUAGGGUUUCCCUGGAGCUAAAAAAAAACCCACCCCCAGCCUACGUUCCCCCAAUCCUCCCCCUGCUGCCGCCACCACCACUCUGGAGAGCGACAUGGACACGGGCCACGGAAGAGGGCGAGGAAAGAAUAGGCCAGGGCGAGGAGAUGGUGAUCGCCAGAUGCAGAAGCAGCAGUGGCAAGAUCCACCACCGCAAAUCAAUCAGGUACCACCCCCAUUUGGUUUUGGCUACGGAUUUCCAGGGCAGGCUCCACCCUGGGGUUUCAAUGGCCAGUUCCAUGGAGGUUUUCCCCCUCUGCGGCCAUGGCAGGGGAUGCCUCCUCCAUGGUUCCCGCAGCAGCACCUGCCAUAGCAGGAAGUGGAUCAAGGGAACUCUGUCAGUGACAACAGUCAAGGAUCAGGGAGCUCUGCGAUCGCUGGGCAGGGCAAUUCUAAAGGCAUGGGCAAGCAAAACAAAAAAAGCAGGAGAUUAG
This 1392-nucleotide ribosomal RNA is filed under the name Triticum aestivum (bread wheat). RNAcentral describes it as "partial small subunit ribosomal RNA". The record is from RNAcentral. Lineage: Eukaryota; Viridiplantae; Streptophyta; Magnoliopsida; Poales; Poaceae.